UAAUACGUAGGGGGCAAGCGUUGUCCGGAAUUAUUGGGCGUAAAGCGCGCGCAGGCGGUCUUUUAAGUCUGGUGUCUAAGUGCGGGGCUCAACCCCGUGAUGCACUGGAAACUGGGAGACUUGAGUGCAGAAGAGGAGAGCGGAAUUCCACGUGUAGCGGUGAAAUGCGUAGAGAUGUGGAGGAACACCAGUGGCGAAGGCGGCUCUCUGGCCUGUAACUGACGCUGAGGCGCGAAAGCGUGGGGAGCAAACAGGAUUAGAUACCCUGGUAGUCCACGCCGUAAACGAUGAGUGCUAGGUGUCGGAGGGGUCCACCCUGCGGUGCCGAAGUAAACACAUUAAGCACUCCGCCUGGGGAGUACGGUCGCAAGACUGAAACUUAAAUGAAUUGACGG
Molecule: ribosomal RNA, 395 nt
Filed under: uncultured bacterium
Lineage: Bacteria
Description: bacterial SSU rRNA
Rfam family: Bacterial small subunit ribosomal RNA
Source: RNAcentral